This 280-nucleotide ribosomal RNA is filed under the name uncultured Staphylococcus sp. RNAcentral describes it as "partial 16S ribosomal RNA". It matches the Rfam family "Bacterial small subunit ribosomal RNA", at positions 83 to 355 of the family's 1533-position model. The record is from RNAcentral. Lineage: Bacteria; Bacillati; Bacillota; Bacilli; Caryophanales; Staphylococcaceae.
CCUUUGACGUUAGCGGCGGACGGGUGAGUAACACGUGGGUAACCUACCUAUAAGACUGGGAUAACUUCGGGAAACCGGAGCUAAUACCGGAUAAUAUUUCGAACCGCAUGGUUCGAUAGUGAAAGGNGGUUUUGCUAUCACUUAUAGAUGGACCCGCGCCGUAUUAGCUAGUUGGUAAGGUAACGGCUUACCAAGGCGACGAUACGUAGCCGACCUGAGAGGGUGAUCGGCCACACUGGAACUGAGACACGGGUCCAGACUCCUACGGGAGGCAGCAGCC